CUUGGUCAUUUAGAGGAAGUAAAAGUCGUAACAAGGUCUCCGUUGGUGAACCGGCGGAGGGAUCAUUACAGAGUUGCAAAACUCCCUAAACCAUUGUGAACGUUACCUAAACCGUUGCUUUGGCGGGCGGCCCGGGUCCUUCCCGGCGCCCCUCGGCCCUCGCGGGCGCCCGCCGGAGGUAAACCAAACUAUUGCAUUGUAUGGCCUCUCUGAGUCUUCUGUACUGAAUAAGUCAAAACUUUCAACAACGGAUCUCUUGGUUCUGGCAUCGAUGAAGAACGCAGCGAAAUGCGAUAAGUAAUGUGAAUUGCAGAAUUCAGUGAAUCAUCGAAUCUUUGAACGCACAUUGCGCCCGCCAGUAUUCUGGCGGGCAUGCCUGUUCGAGCGUCAUUUCAACCAUCAAGCCCCGGGCUUGUGUUGGGGACCUGCGGCUGCCGCAGGCCCUGAAAUGCAGUGGCGGGCUCGCUGUCACUCCGAGCGUAGUAGUUACAUCUCGCUCUGGGCGUGCUGCGGGUUCCGGCCGUUAAAAGCCUUAUUUACCCAAGGUUGACCUCGGAUCAGGUAGGGAAACCCGCUGAACUUAAGCAUAUCAAUAAGCGGAGGA
Molecule: ribosomal RNA, 604 nt
Filed under: uncultured fungus
Lineage: Eukaryota; Fungi
Description: eukaryotic LSU rRNA
Rfam family: 5.8S ribosomal RNA (bases 237-390)
Source: RNAcentral